Long non-coding RNA from Suricata suricatta (meerkat), 242 nucleotides. RefSeq lists it as uncharacterized. The record is from RefSeq and is a predicted model, not a curated record. Lineage: Eukaryota; Metazoa; Chordata; Mammalia; Carnivora; Herpestidae. The transcript has 3 exons.
AAAUGAUGGUGUUGGUGUAAAAAGUUUUAUUCCUUAGUCCACCCGGUUCCGUUUUCAAAGGAUUGAAAAUACAGCAUUUGUCUGAGUGCACUCCAACUUUGAAAUGCUUGUGGCUGUCUAAGAGUCAUGUAUUAACAUGCAAAGAUAACACACCAUGCUUCUGCAGAAGGCUCCAUGUGUUCAAGAUUUUUGACAUAAUGGGACUUGACAUGCUGUCAUUCAAGUGGAAUGUUCUACCGCAA